GUCAGUGGAGAGUGGAGUUAACGAGCGAGCCCGUCCAAAAACGAGCCACCCAGCCAGGGCCUCCUCUCCUCUCCUCGUGCCAGCAGUAGCACCCACCAGCCACCACCCAAGCAAACGGAGAGAGGCCACGCUGCCGCCCCCUCCCUCAUCCUCCUUCCACUUGCAGCAGAGCAGGGCAGGCAUUGCCUCCGCUCUCACUCCAGUCCUCCCCCCUGCCCUCCCCUCGGCCCCGCCGCUCGAGGGAGAUAGCGUAGGAGGCUCCUACCCGCUUAAUUUGCUCGCCGAGGCAGGUGGAUGAGCUAGGCUGAGAAAGAGCCGCUGUGGCAGGCGACGAAAAGGGGGAAAACCCACCGACCAUGGCAGGGCGAGGAAUGCUGCCGCGCCGGCGCGAGUGAGCGAUCUCGCAGAUCUGCGCCCGGCCGCAUUUUCGCUCCUCCGCACCAAGGAGAUCGGGUGAUUCGUCGGGGGGGAGGGAGAAACCGGGGCCGCAGCGAUGGCGAACGUGGGGGACCUGGCCAACAUCGCGCAGCUCACGGGGCUGGACGCGGUGCGCCUCAUCGGCCUCAUCGUCAAGGCGGCGGCCACGGCGCGGAUGCACAAGAGCAACUGCCGCCGCUUCGCGCAGCACCUCAAGCUCAUCGGCGGCCUGCUGGAGCAGCUCCGGGUGUCGGAGCUCAAGAAGUACCCGGAGACGCGGGAGCCGCUGGAGCAGCUCGAGGACGCGCUCCGCCGGGGCUACCUGCUCGUCAACUCCUGCCAGGACCGCUCCUACCUCUACCUCCUCGCCAUGGGCUGGAACAUCGUCUACCGCUUCCGCACCGCGCAGACCGAGAUCGACAACUACCUCCGCCUCGUGCCGCUCAUCACGCUCGUCGACAACGCCCGCGUGCGGGAGCGAAUUGAGUACAUUGAAAGGGAUCAAUGUGAAUACUCUCUUGACGAGGAAGACAAGGAGGUCCAAGAAGCUCUGUUAAACCCUGACCCUGUCACAAAUCCUUCGAUAGUGCUCAAGAAGACUCUGUCCUGUUCUUAUCCAAACGUGCCGUUUAAUGAAGCUCUUCGGAAGGAAAGUGAGAAGCUCCAGGUGGAGCUUCAAAGAUCACAAAGCAACAUGGAUAUGGCCCAGUGCGAGGUUAUUCAUCACCUGCUUGGAGUAACUAGAACUGUGGCAAGUUCUAUUCCAGAGGAAAGUACAGAUGCCAAGGUUACCAAGAAAACCAAUUCAAAGUGCACAAAAGUUAACGAAGACAGUGCAAAAUCGUAUGAUGAUGACUCCCCAAAGAAGCAAAAAGAUGCCUAUAUUGCACCACGGAGUUCUUCACCUGUUCCCUACAACCAUGAUCUGGUCUCGAGUACAGCAUCAUACAGUGAUGAGUGGCAUGCAGAUUUACUUGGUUGCUGUUCAGAGCCAGCUCUGUGUAUGUCUACUUUUUUCUCAGUGUCUGAAGACCUUCUUUUUUCCAUGUGGAACAUUCUCAAGGAUUGCUUCAAUCGCCAAGAACAAGCCCAUGUCUUCGGGAGAAGCCUGCAAUGAUAUUAUGGCGUACUCCCUCGUAUUGUCUUGUUGCUGUUACACUUGCUGUGUAAGGAGAAAGCUUCGUCAAAGGCUAAAUAUUGCGGGAGGGUGUUGUGACGAUUUCCUUUCACAUGUGAUGUGCUGUUGCUGUGCUCUUGUUCAAGAAUGGCGCGAAGUAGAGAUUCGUGGUGCAUACGGAGGGAAGACAAAGAUAACCCCGCCGGCACACCAGUACAUGGAGCACUGAGACUCUGCGAUCCCUG
Molecule: RNA transcript, 1779 nt
Organism: Triticum urartu
Lineage: Eukaryota; Viridiplantae; Streptophyta; Magnoliopsida; Poales; Poaceae
Gene: MCA1
Gene name: PLAC8 family protein
Source: RefSeq, a predicted model, not a curated record